RNAcentral lists this non-coding RNA (353 nucleotides) under Pan troglodytes (chimpanzee). RNAcentral also lists the same sequence under 1 other name. Lineage: Eukaryota; Metazoa; Chordata; Mammalia; Primates; Hominidae. The record is from RNAcentral.
CAACCACCCAGCUUCUCUCCAGAUGGCAUCCCAUCAUCCGCAGCAUCUCUCAACCUUUAUCUCCUAUCUCCUGCCUCAUCUCCUUCCUAAGUAAAGAACACCUUCCAACUCAACAUAAGGCAGCUACAGGUUGGAGUGCAAUGGCGCAAUCUUGGCUCACGACAACCUCCGCCUCCCGGGUAUAAGUGAUUCUCCUGCCUCGGCCUCCCGAGUAGCUGAGAUUACAGUUUACCAAAGUGCUUGUUACAGUGAAAAACACAGCCCACAGGCACUGAGGUGGGACUACAGAACCUUGCUGGACCACAUCUUUUCAGCACAUUUCUGUGACCCUCUGUUUUUGAUGGAGAAAACAA